Molecule: ribosomal RNA, 543 nt
Filed under: uncultured bacterium
Lineage: Bacteria
Description: partial 16S ribosomal RNA
Rfam family: Bacterial small subunit ribosomal RNA
Source: RNAcentral
UGGGGAAUUUUGGACAAUGGGCGAAAGCCUGAUCCAGCAAUGCCGCGUGUGUGAAGAAGGCCUUCGGGUUGUAAAGCACUUUUGUCCGGAAAGAAAUCCUUGGCUCUAAUACAGUCGGGGGAUGACGGUACCGGAAGAAUAAGCACCGGCUAACUACGUGCCAGCAGCCGCGGUAAUACGUAGGGUGCAAGCGUUAAUCGGAAUUACUGGGCGUAAAGCGUGCGCAGGCGGUUUGCUAAGACCGAUNUGAAAUCCCCGGGCUCAACCUGGGAACUGCAUUGGUGACUGGCAGGCUAGAGUAUGGCAGAGGGGGGUAGAAUUCCACGUGUAGCAGUGAAAUGCGUAGAGAUGUGGAGGAAUACCGAUGGCGAAGGCAGCCCCCUGGGCCAAUACUGACGCUCAUGCACGAAAGCGUGGGGAGCAAACAGGAUUNGAUACCCUGGUAGUCCACGCCCUAAAACGAUGUCAACUAGUUGUUGGGGAUUCAUUUCCUUAGUAACGUAGCUAACGCGUGAAGUUGACCGCCUGGGGAGUACGUCGCAA